CCGCUUUUAGCUCAGUGGUCGAGCGUUGGCUUUGGAAGCCACAGAUCGGGGAUUCGAACCCACCACGGCACA
Transfer RNA from Phytophthora infestans T30-4, 72 nucleotides. It matches the Rfam family "tRNA". Rfam says of the family: Transfer RNA (tRNA) molecules are approximately 80 nucleotides in length. Their secondary structure includes four short double-helical elements and three loops (D, anti-codon, and T loops). NCBI's taxonomy places the organism in Eukaryota, Oomycota, Peronosporomycetes, Peronosporales, Peronosporaceae. The record is from Rfam.